GUUGUAAAUAUAUUUUUAAUAAUUAUUUAGAAAUGAAACGUUAUUCGUUUUUAAAUAUAUCUAGUUUAUUUAGAAAAAAAUUUAAUUUUAAAUUUAAUAAUAAACUAAUUUAAUUAAUUAAAUUAGUUUAUUAUUAAAUUUUAUAUUUUAGGGGAUAAGCUUUAAAUUAAAUUUUUAUAGUAAUUUAAUUAAUUUAAUGAAAUUUAUAUGAUUUAUAUUAUUAAAAAAUUUUAGUUUAUUAUAAAUAAUUUCAUUACAAUGAAAAUUUAAUUAAAAUUAAUUUUUUAUAAAUAAAUUUUUUAAAAUAAUUAAAAAUUAUAUAUAAUGAUAAAAUUAGUAUAUAUUAAUAAUUAAUAAAAUUUAUUUAAUUAAAUUAUAUUAUUUAAAUUAAUUAAUUAAAAUUAAUUCGGCAAAUAUUUAUAUUCACUUGUUUAACAAAAACAUGUCUUUUUGAAUUAAUUUAAAGUCUAAUCUGCCCACUGAUAUAAAUUAAAGGGCUGCAGUAUUUUGACUGUACAAAGGUAGCAUAAUCAUUAGUCUCUUAAUUAGUGACUUGUAUGAAAGAUUGAAUGAAAUAUAAACUGUCUCUUAAUUAAUUUAUAGAAUUUAAUUUUUUAUUUAAAAAGUUAAAAUAUUUUUAAAAAGACGAGAAGGCCCUAUAGAGUUUUAUAUUUUUUUUUAUUAAUAUUUAUUUAUAAAUUUAUUAAUUUUAUUAAAAAAAAUUAUUAUGUUGGGGUGAUAGAAAAAUAAAAUUAACUUUUUUUAUAAAUUUAAACAUAAAUAAUUGUUUUUUGAUCCAUUAUUAAUGAUUAUAAGAUUAAAUUACCUUAGGGAUAACAGCGUUAUUUUUUUUUUUAGUACAAAUAAGAAAAAAAGUUUGCGAC
Molecule: ribosomal RNA, 884 nt
Filed under: Chlorissa obliterata
Lineage: Eukaryota; Metazoa; Arthropoda; Insecta; Lepidoptera; Geometridae
Description: partial 16S rRNA
Source: RNAcentral